UAGCUCAGUUGGUAGAGUGCUUGUCUCACAAGCACAAGGCCCUGGGUUCAAUCCCCAG
This 58-nucleotide transfer RNA is filed under the name Marmota marmota marmota (Alpine marmot). It matches the Rfam family "tRNA", at positions 8 to 63 of the family's 71-position model. Rfam says of the family: Transfer RNA (tRNA) molecules are approximately 80 nucleotides in length. Their secondary structure includes four short double-helical elements and three loops (D, anti-codon, and T loops). Further hydrogen bonds mediate the characteristic L-shaped molecular structure. tRNAs have two regions of fundamental functional importance: the anti-codon, which is responsible for specific mRNA codon recognition, and the 3' end, to which the tRNAs corresponding amino acid is attached (by aminoacyl-tRNA synthetases). tRNAs cope with the degeneracy of the genetic code in two manners: having more than one tRNA (with a specific anti-codon) for a particular amino acid; and 'wobble' base-pairing, i.e. permitting non-standard base-pairing at the 3rd anti-codon position. The record is from Rfam by way of RNAcentral. Lineage: Eukaryota; Metazoa; Chordata; Mammalia; Rodentia; Sciuridae. RNAcentral also lists the same sequence under 6 other names.